Cervus elaphus (red deer) is the source of this 2380-nucleotide long non-coding RNA. RefSeq lists it as uncharacterized. Lineage: Eukaryota; Metazoa; Chordata; Mammalia; Artiodactyla; Cervidae. The record is from RefSeq and is a predicted model, not a curated record. The transcript has 2 exons.
UGGAGGAGGAAAGAGCAACCAACUCCAGCAUUGCUGCUUGAGAAAUCCCAUGGACAGAGGAGCCUUGAGGAUUACAGUUCACAGACAGAAACGAGCUGGACACAACUUAUACUUGAGCACUGAGCACAGGUGAAAACUUUUGACCUCCAGGUAACUUCAGGAUAUUUCAGAGGACCCCUGAUUCAUCUCAGAGAGAAAUAUUUAACUAGGAUUACUUGCUAUAUUAAUUACACUUAAAUUUAAUCCCAGUAUUUUAACCAAGUUUCUUUACCAGAUUGCAUUGCAAUCAGAUGUAUACCUAUGCAUCCUCCUCUUUUUUAAACUCUUUCUGUCAUUUAUAAACAGUUAUUGCAUUCAUCUUCAAGAAGCUUUAUGAGAAGGACCACCUUUGACAACUAACAGGCUUCUGAUAAUCUUCAUGUCAUACUGUAACAGGAGGGAAAGGGGCAGGGCACAAUUUUUGAAAGAAUGACAUAGCCAAGGACACAACAUAAACCAAUCAGAAUCAAAUGGGACCAAGAUGGCAGGCAAGACUAGAACUUGAUCCUCAAUCAGUAAGUGAAAGGACACACUCAGAGGUGUCAUGACAGUUCCAAGGCACUUUUAAAAGACCAAGAAGUGGGGCAGAUCCUGGAAAUCUCCACCCCUUCCCAAAAGUAGUUGGAAUAAUCCUCCCACUCAUUAGCAUAUGAAAUUACCCAGCCUAUAAAAACUAACCCUGCCAUAUUUCGGGGCUGCACUUGCCCUCUGUGAUGGCCCACAGUCUGUCUGUGGCAUGUGCUUCUCUCUGAAUCUGAAUAAACCUACUUCUUAGCUAUAACUUUGUCUCUCACUGAAUUCUUUCUGUGAUGAGACAUCAAGAACAUGAACUUUACUAGGUCCUGAAACCAGGUACCAUGGGUUUUGGCUGAGUUUGAGUUCCAGCCAGGUGGGUUCAAGUCCCAAGCAGGAAGACUUCCAGACCAGAAGUUCUCAAAGUGAGGACCCUAGACCAAAAGCGUCAGCACCUUGGGAACUUGCUAGUGGUGCAAGGUUUGGGCUCCCCUCUCCAGACUUAAUGAAUCCGAAAUUCUGUGUUUUAGUAUGCCCUCAACUGAAUGCUUAAGAACCACGGAUCUCGUUUUCCACCAGGCAUUUGGCCCAACGUUUUAUAUGAUCUCUCUCUAGGACACCUGGGCUGGCCCUGAUGUGAGUUGAGAAGACUUCUUUUGCCUUCAACUUGAGGCUGAAACAAGAAGCUGCUCAGCGGCCCAUUCUGUUUCCUCUUCCUGUCACCUACACCCAGGGCCCCACGGUCUUUCAAAGUUGAAAGGCAAACUUCUUAGUGCAAGCACACAUACAUACCUGCACACACAUACACUCGGUCUUUUUGUUUUUAAAACACAGGUGAACAUAUGAUACACAUUUUUGUCCAUCUUGCUUUUGUCACUGAACAUCAUACCCAAGAGAUUCUUCCUGACCAGCACACAGGACUGUGCACUUAGGCAAAGAUCCUGUUGUAGUGGAAAUGGAGAGAGUAGCAGUGAGGCACACACCACAUGAUUCUGACUCUGACUUUGUCUAGGACUCUGAUUCCAUGAUUCAGCACCCCAUCCAGUGUCAACCCCAUCCUGGUCCACUGGCCCCUCCAGUUUGAUCUCACAGAUUUCCUUUUUACAUCUCACCAUGACACCUAGUCCUGACCCAGUCCUGUUUCUGCUUCUCCUUUCCUGUCACAACGACAACAUCCCAGAAAGCUUAUGCUUUGUGUACCCAACACAGGGUGAGGCCAGGCUCCUUGGCUCCAGGGAGCCCGCUUGUCCAUGAGGCACACCUUUCAGAUUCAAAUGCCGCACCAGCAGAUUAAUUUCCAAGACAGGGGACGCAGUGUCAUGACCUUGGAGAGCUCUCUGUUGUCUAAUCCUGGGAUGUACUCUCUGUCUCCAUGGGGAAAGGAGGUGGCUUCUGGUCCCAGGUGGCAUUCAGACUCCAAAGGCCGACUGCAGGAAAGAGGGUUUGAUUCCUGAUCCAGGAGGAUCCCACAUGCUACAGAGCAACUGAGCCCGUGCUCCGCAACUAUUGACCCGACUCCAACUACUGAGGCCCACGUCCCAGAGCCAGUGCUCCAUAACAAGCAAAGCCCUCAAAUGAGAAAUCUGCACACUGCAACUAGAGAGUAGCCCCUGCUAGAGAAAGACCAAUCGGCGAUGAAGACCCGGCAAGGCCAAUGAAUACAUAAAUAAAAAGAACCUAUAAUUUUCUAAAAACCUUGAAUGGAAGCUCUUGUUUGGUACCAUUCUAUAAAGUUGCAUAAAGUUAUACAAUUGCUCAUUCACUAUGUAUAUACCUCUCUGUCUUUGCAGCCUAAUAAACAACCUCAAAACUUUGGGGCUUAAACUCA